GAUGAACGCUAGCGGCAGGCCUAACACAUGCAAGUCGAGGGGUAACAGGGAUUGCUUGCAAUCCGCUGACGACCGGCGCACGGGUGCGUAACGCGUAUGCAACCUACCUUUUACAGGGGUAUAGUCAAGAGAAAUUUUGAAUAACACCCCAUACGAUCAUUUUUACACCUGUAAAGAUGAAGAAAACUCCGGUGGUAAAAGAUGGGCAUGCGUCCUAUUAGUUAGUUGGUGAGGUAACGGCUCACCAAGACCGCGAUAGGUAGGGGUCCUGAGAGGGAGAUCCCCCACACUGGUACUGAGACACGGACCAGACUCCUACGGGAGGCAGCAGUGAGGAAUAUUGGACAAUGGAGGCAACUCUGAUCCAGCCAUGCCGCGUGCAGGAAGACUGCCCUAUGGGUUGUAAACUGCUUUUAUACAGGAAGAAACCUUGGUACGUGUACCAAGCUGACGGUACUGUAAGAAUAAGGAUCGGCUAACUCCGUGCCAGCAGCCGCGGUAAUACGGAGGAUCCAAGCGUUAUCCGGAAUCAUUGGGUUUAAAGGGUCCGCAGGCGGUCUUUUAAGUCAGAGGUGAAAUCCUAUCGCUCAACGAUAGAACUGCCUUUGAUACUGAAAGACUUGAGUUAUUGUGAAGUGGUUAGAAUAUGUAGUGUAGCGGUGAAAUGCAUAGAUAUUACAUAGAAUACCGAUUGCGAAGGCAGAUCACUAACAAUACACU
RNAcentral lists this ribosomal RNA (720 nucleotides) under bacterium IMCC8491. RNAcentral's name for it is "bacterial SSU rRNA". It matches the Rfam family "Bacterial small subunit ribosomal RNA", at positions 28 to 741 of the family's 1533-position model. The record is from RNAcentral. RNAcentral also lists the same sequence under 2 other names.